UGGAGCAGAUGGAUGGCCGCCCCCACACCUAUUAACAUAGGUGUGGGGGAGGAAAGUCCGGACUCCGCAGGGCAGGGUGCUUCGUAACGCGAAGGAGAGGCGACUCUACGGAAAGUGCCACAGAAAACAUACCGCCCUAAAGGAAGCAAUGAGCAAUGAGUACAAAGCAAUGGGUAUUACUCAUUGCUCGUUACUCAUUGCUUCCUUGGGGUAAGGGUGAAAAGGCGAGGUAAGAGCUCACCGCCCUGAUGGUGACAUCAGGGGCAUGGAAAACCCCACCCGGAGCAAGGCUAAAUAGAAAGGCAAUAAAGGAUUGCCCGUCCGAAGCCUUUGGGUAAGCCGCUACACCCUUAUGGCAACAUGAGGGGCAGAUAAAUGACCAUCACCCCGCACAUAAAUUAUCUGCGGGGGGACAGAAUCCGGCUUAUAAUCUACUCCAGCAU
This 443-nucleotide RNase P RNA is filed under the name Nitrospinae bacterium RIFCSPHIGHO2_02_FULL_39_82. Its description in RNAcentral is "RNase P RNA component class A". It matches the Rfam family "Bacterial RNase P class A". From Rfam's summary of the family: Ribonuclease P (RNase P) is a ubiquitous endoribonuclease, found in archaea, bacteria and eukarya as well as chloroplasts and mitochondria. Its best characterised activity is the generation of mature 5'-ends of tRNAs by cleaving the 5'-leader elements of precursor-tRNAs. Cellular RNase Ps are ribonucleoproteins. RNAcentral also lists the same sequence under 5 other names. Lineage: Bacteria; Pseudomonadati; Nitrospinota. The record is from RNAcentral.